GAUGAAGAACGCAGCGAAAUGCGAUACGUAAUGUGAAUUGCAGAAUUCAGUGAAUCAUCGAAUCUUUGAACGCAUAUUGCGCUCUCUGGUAUUCCGGAGAGCAUGCUUGUUUGAGUAUCAGUAAACACCUCAACUUCCAUAUCUUUUUUGAAAUGGGAGUUGGACUUGAGUGAUCCCAACGCUUUUCCUCACCGAAAAGUGGCGGGUUACUUGAAAUGCAGGUGCAGCUGGACUUUUCUCUGAGCUAUAAGCAUAUCUAUUUAGUCUGCCUAAAAAACAGAUUAUUACCUUUGCUGCAGCUAACAUAAAGGAGAUUAGUUCUUGUGCUGACUGAUGCAGGAUUCACAAAGACGGCUUCGGCCGACUUUGUAAACUCGAUCUCAAAUCAAGUAAGACUACCCGCUGAACUUAAGCAUAUCAAUAAGGGAGGA
Molecule: unclassified non-coding RNA, 431 nt
Filed under: soil metagenome
Description: partial contains 5.8S ribosomal RNA, internal transcribed spacer 2, and large subunit ribosomal RNA
Rfam family: 5.8S ribosomal RNA (bases 1-120)
Source: RNAcentral